RNAcentral lists this ribosomal RNA (623 nucleotides) under uncultured bacterium. Its description in RNAcentral is "bacterial SSU rRNA". It matches the Rfam family "Bacterial small subunit ribosomal RNA", at positions 338 to 956 of the family's 1533-position model. The record is from RNAcentral.
CCUACGGGAGGCAGCAGUGGGGAAUUUUGGACAAUGGGCGAAAGCCUGAUCCAGCAAUGCCGCGUGAGUGAAGAAGGCCUUCGGGUUGUAAAGCUCUUUUGUCAGGGAAGAAACGGUGUGGGCUAAUAUCCUGCACUAAUGACGGUACCUGAAGAAUAAGCACCGGCUAACUACGUGCCAGCAGCCGCGGUAAUACGUAGGGUGCAAGCGUUAAUCGGAAUUACUGGGCGUAAAGCGUGCGCAGGCGGUUUUGUAAGUCUGUCGUGAAAUCCCCGGGCUCAACCUGGGAAUUGCGAUGGAGACUGCAAGGCUAGAAUCUGGCAGAGGGGGGUAGAAUUCCACGUGUAGCAGUGAAAUGCGUAGAGAUGUGGAGGAACACCGAUGGCGAAGGCAGCCCCCUGGGUCAAGAUUGACGCUCAUGCACGAAAGCGUGGGGAGCAAACAGGAUUAGAUACCCUGGUAGUCCACGCCCUAAACGAUGUCUACUAGUUGUCGGGUUUUAAUUAACUUGGUAACGCAGCUAACGCGUGAAGUAGACCGCCUGGGGAGUACGGUCGCAAGAUUAAAACCGUUAAAGUGUAAUUCGGAGCGUGAGAGCGACGACGACGACGACGAGGAGGAGG